GGGGAUUUAGCUCAGUGGUACAGCACUUGCCUAGCAAGCACAAGGCCCUGGGUUCGGUCCCCAGCUCCG
RNAcentral lists this transfer RNA (69 nucleotides) under Rattus norvegicus (Norway rat). It matches the Rfam family "tRNA". From Rfam's summary of the family: Transfer RNA (tRNA) molecules are approximately 80 nucleotides in length. Their secondary structure includes four short double-helical elements and three loops (D, anti-codon, and T loops). Lineage: Eukaryota; Metazoa; Chordata; Mammalia; Rodentia; Muridae. The record is from Rfam by way of RNAcentral.